UAAUGGUGUUUAUUACUGUAUCAGGUGAAUAUGUAUGGUUUUAUGCUGCCUUGACCCAUCUUAUCAUGUGUGAAUAUGACUUCCCGUAGAAACCUGAGAUUGCAGCUGCUGAGGAAAGGUCUCAUUGUGGAGACAAAAGUGCUACUGAGAUACCUGGAGCCACUUCUGUGACAUGGAGCAUCAUGGGAACUAAUAAACUGGCCUUAUGGUUUGCCUGAAAUCA
RNAcentral lists this long non-coding RNA (223 nucleotides) under Manacus vitellinus (golden-collared manakin). RNAcentral's name for it is "lncRNA (ENSMVIG00005013189.1)". The record is from RNAcentral. Lineage: Eukaryota; Metazoa; Chordata; Aves; Passeriformes; Pipridae.